Molecule: small nucleolar RNA, 111 nt
Organism: Heterocephalus glaber (naked mole-rat)
Lineage: Eukaryota; Metazoa; Chordata; Mammalia; Rodentia; Bathyergidae
Source: Ensembl
CUGUGUUUUUUGUUUAAUUUGUGGACAAAGACUUGUGGGCAAAAAAAUACUUUUGCAACUCAAAAAUAGUUGUUCAGUUCAAGAGUUCUGACACAUAUAAGAAAGAAUAUU